This 241-nucleotide unclassified non-coding RNA is filed under the name uncultured fungus. RNAcentral describes it as "sequence contains ITS2". The stretch from base 1 to 52 matches the Rfam family "5.8S ribosomal RNA", at positions 103 to 154 of the family's 154-position model. The record is from RNAcentral. Lineage: Eukaryota; Fungi.
AACGCACAUUGCACCCUCUGGUAUUCCAGGGGGUAUGCCUGUUCGAGCGUCAUUACAACCCUCAAGCACUGCUUGGUAUUGGAUGUCACAAAUUGUGGUGCAUCUCAAAAGUAUUGGCAGUAGCAUUCAGCUUCUAGCGUAGUAAAUUUCUCGCUUUGGAGUUUCAAGUGUCUAAUUGCUAGAACCCCUAAUUUAUCAAAAGGUUGACCUCGGAUCAGGUAGGGAUACCCGCUGAACUUAA